GCGAACAUGCAGUCGAACGAGAAAGGGGAUUCGUCCCUGAGUAUAGUGGCGCACGGGUGAGUAACACGUGAAUGAUCUACCUCCGAGUGGGGAAUAACCAAGAGAAAUCUUGGCUAAUACCGCAUAACACUUACGAGUCAAAGCAGCAAUGCGCUUGGAGAGGAGUUCGCGGCAGAUUAGUUAGUUGGCGGGGUAAUGGCCCACCAAGACGAUGAUCUGUAUCCGGCCUGAGAGGGCGCACGGACACACUGGAACUGAAACACGGUCCAGACUCCUACGGGAGGCAGCAGUGGGGAAUUUUGCGCAAUGGGGGAAACCCUGACGCAGCAACGCCGCGUGGAGGAUGAAGUAUCUUGGUACGUAAACUCCUUUCGAUGGGGAAGAUAAUGACGGUACCCAUAGAAGAAGCCCCGGCUAACUUCGUGCCAGCAGCCGCGGUAAUACGAGGGGGGCAAGCGUUGUUCGGAAUUAUUGGGCGUAAAGGGUGCGUAGGCGGUUUGACAAGUCUUAUGUGAAAUCUUCGGGCUCAACCCGAAGUCUGCAUGGGAAACUGUCGGGCUUGAGUAUGGGAGAGGUGAGUGGAAUUUCCGGUGUAGCGGUGAAAUGCGUAGAUAUCGGAAGGAACACCUGUGGCGAAAGCGGUCACUGGACCAUAACUGACGCUGAUGCACGAAAGCUAGGGGAGCAAACAG
Molecule: ribosomal RNA, 692 nt
Filed under: uncultured bacterium
Lineage: Bacteria
Description: bacterial SSU rRNA
Rfam family: Bacterial small subunit ribosomal RNA
Source: RNAcentral